UUUUAAUACCCAAAGUCUUACAAGAGAGGGCCCCUUAAUGGGGCUGAAACUCAUCCAUUUUACAAACUUAAUCUCCAGCAUACCCUCUCUACAAAAGAAACCAUAGCAGCCCUCCCCCCAAGCUGUCCGUUCUUCACUCCUAAGGUACCCCCAAGUUGAAUCUUCUUCUCCUUUCAAAUUCAAGUUGGAGGAACACUCUUAGCCCUAAAGAAUCCACAAGAUAUAAGUGUUAUCUUCAAGGUAUGUUGCUGUAAUUCCAACCCCUUUUAAUUAUAUUUAACUAGGGGCAACCAUACUUGUUUUAGUUAAGAAUUCGCAGGCUAACGUGUUGAGGAUGGUAAGUUUGAUGUUGUGCCCAUUUUGUGGCUUAAUUUAGGGUCUGUUUUGGGUAUAAUUUGGUCAUGUAACAGCCUAGGUAUGGUAUUUUAUUUUCACCCUAAUUAAGAGCUAGUUUUAACAUUGUAAAUAUAAUAUUGGCUGAAAAUUACGGGACGGUGAUUGGAAGGGACGGUGAUUGGAAGUCGUGAGUUCAAAUUGUGUAACUUAUGACGGAUUGUUUUGGGACUCUUUUGUGGAAUGCUUUGUGGAAUUUUUUGUGAUGUAUUGUGAUGGAUAUAAGAUUGGAUAUUGAUGCAUAUAUAAUCGUUGGUAUGCUGGACAUAUUGGUCUUGUUGUUUGAUUUGAGAAAAAUAAAAAGAAUAAGGGGAACGUGUUGUCCAAAUUUUCGUAGACAAGUUAGUCAUUCAUUUGUUUUGAAUUCUAGCUUAAAAAUGAUCCCUUGUCAUUUUUUAUAGAUUGAAGUACUAACGGGUUGAACCGGCGCCGUGUGAUUAAGUAGACAACAAAGGUAUGUAGGUCAUUCGAUUCCGUAUUCUUUGGCAUGAAGUCACGCGUAAGAUACUCCUAUCGACAAAAUCAGCUCUAUUAAUUUUCCUCUCAAUGAAAGAGGGGACAUGGGCAAGUAAAUGGUUCAUGAGUAGUGUACUUGAUCCCGUAGUUGACACUCCCAGUUUUAUGUUUGAAAUCUAUUUUUAUGAUAAUCGAGCCACAAGAUAAAAGGCUAAUUCUUCAAAGUAUAGUCACAUAAGCAUUCUUGAUGUAAGGAUCACUUGUAGAGCUAUAGUGAGUUUUAUUGUUCCACAUAGGAGUUUUGAUCUUUUUUUCUAUGCUAUAUAAUAUGUGAUCACAAUCGUAAAUGUCAUUGGUAUCUCUUGUGCGCAUAAGAUUUUAAAGUACAAAGAUUACGUGAUCACUUAGUAAAGGUAAUAAAAGUCAAAUGUAUCAUUAAAAGAAGCUAUGUGUACAUGAUCAUAGUGACAUCAUCCCAGGGGCUACUAGCCUAGUUGGGUCAUGGAUGGUGACAUUAUGCCAGGGGCCAUUGUUUCCGAACUCGUGUUAAUAUAAUUGCACCCUCGCAGGGGCCAAAGAUCAUAGCUGGGGUCAUGAUUAUUGAUACACCAUCCCUGGGGAAAUGAGUCUAGCUCGGGUCAUAUUCAUGCCACAUUUAGUUGGCCGUUUACUUUGGAUUCUAUCGAGGCUAAUUCUAUACCGUUCAUGAGACAUAUGUACAUGCUUACAGAUAUGGUAUAGAUUGACUAAGGUACAGUUAAAGGUGGCAUCUUUUUAUAUGUACAUUAGUGCUUUUAUGAAUUCUUUCAUCUCCUAUAUGUUACUUUGUGCCUUACCUACUCAGUACAUUCUUCUGUACUGACUUCCCCAUUGGGGACGCUGCAUUUCAUGCUGCAGGCAGAGGUACUCCAGUUAGUAGACCUCCACUAGAAUAGAGUACAUGGCGUACUUGGCUAUCUUGGAUAAGCUCCAUAAUGUUUGGGGCCUUACCGAGUCAUGUAUAUAUGUUUUGGUAUUGUAUAAGGAUUAAGGGUAAGGCGGGACCCUGUCCUGACCUAAGUAUUUUUCAUAUAUAUAUAGUAGAGUCUUUGUAGACCUACGUUAAGGUAUGGCACAGUUACAACUUGACCCUUAAUAGGCAUAGCCUCGACGGUUAGUAUUAUAUGUACACGUUUUGGGCUUAUCUUAUGGGUCAUUAGAAUAAAGUAUUUCUGCUCUUACUUGGUAUUUAUAUGUUCAACUCAUGGUAUGCACAUGCUAAGCAUCGGUCAAGGACUGGUCCUCUCAGGACUAUAGAGGUUUCGAGUGCAUGUCCGUCCUUACGGGGUUUGAGGCGUGACAAAAGCCACGCCUUAAAAACGUAAAUACAAAUUCCUUUGGCAAAGCUUUUAAAGUUUUAGGUGUUGUCUGAUUAAUGUGGCCUUGGGCCAAAUUUGUUCUAUUCACAAACUAAAUUCACGUCCGACUGCUCACAAUAUUUUUUCCUUGAUUGACCAUCAUUUGAAUUGAUGACUGACUCGUAUUGUCUGAUUGAUUCUCACCUAAAUUUGGGAUUUUAUUAUGCUGGUAAAGGACUAUACAUCUAUAAAUUUAUUAAAGAUAUAACAUCAUAUGUUAUUGGUAGGAGCAAGCAACUAAUCAUGUAUGACUCAAAUAAUAGUCCGAAAGAAUGAAUAGGUAAAACAAGACGAUAAGAUCGUCAAAUGAUCCAAUAAAUAUUGAAUUAUUUGACAUGUGACGACUUAUUCCAAUUAUGAUUUGAUCAAUAAGUACCAGAAACAGAGUCGCCAGAUAUUUCACCAUGAGAUAUCGAGAUGAUAUUAACUAGAUUACUAACUAAAGUCAUUGAUCACGAUCUUGAUAUAUAGUCAAUGUAUAUGUCCAAAGUCAAAUUAUAGCAUUCCAUCACAAAAACUUGACCCGGUUGUGCACAAGUGGGAAAUGCACUAGCAGUGGAUAUCCAACCGUUGAUAUAUCAUGAGCGAUACACUACCAUUACUUUUAAGUUUUCUGUUGAGGUAUAUACUGCAAAGGUACUUAAAUUGGAUCAGUGAUCGAUUUCUAGGAUUCGUCAUAAAUCUAAUUAGUUAUUUUCAAUUACGUAUAUCUGUAACGACCCAACCGGUUAUUUUUAAGAAUUUGCAUUCAGUUCGGUGGUUUGAGGUCAGGAGUAGCUUCAUAUGGUGUAUUAUGACUUGUGUGUGUCGUCCAUUUUGGUUUUCGAGUGGUUCGGGAUUGAAUUGGAAGAAUGAUUCUCAACUAGGAAGUAUUAACUUGGCAGAGUUGACCAAGUUUGACUUUUGUGUAUUUGAUCUUGGAUCGAUAUUUUGAUGGCUCCGGAUGGUAAUUUUGGCUUGGCCAUAUGCCCAGAUUUGCAUUCGGAUAUUCCUAAAAGGUUUUGACUUUAUUUGGCAAAAGUUGGCAAUUUGUGUAUAAAAUUUGAGGUGAAUCCGAGUUGUUUAGACGUGUUCGGUGUAAGUUUGGAAUUUGAAAUUUUGAAAUAGUUCAUUAAGCUUGAAUUAAGGUGUGAUUCAUUAUUUUGAUAUUAUUAUAUGUGAUUUGAGACCUCGAGUAGGUCCGUGUUAUGUUUUGAUACUUGUUGGCAUGUACAGACGGGGUCCCGAGGGGCUCGUGUGAGUUUCACACGGGGUUCGGACUAUUUUGGGCCAUGUUGGAUAUUGCUGGUUUCUGUUGAUUUCUGAUGUUUCAGUUGUUCUCCGCAAUCGCGAAGAUGAAGCCGUGAUCGCAUAGUGUUCUGGGAGCUGGUCUUCUUUGGGCGAUAGAGGGAUCACGUUCGCGAUGGUUGAGGCUUUAAGCCUUCGUGUUCGCAUAUGGGACUACGCAUUCGCAUAGUAUUGAGCUAGGUUGGGCAUGUCAUGAUGGGUUCUUCUUCGCGUUCGCGCUGGAGUGUCCGCGUUCGCGAGGGUCUGUUCAAAUAUGAAUCACGAUCGCGAGCCUGGGGUCGUGGUCGCGUAAGGUUUCUUCGAGGCAGAUCAGUUUUGUGCUUCACGAUCGCGAAGCUAGUCCCAGGAUCGCGAAGGGUUUACCUGGACAGCGUUAUAAAGUAUUCUAUUUUCGAACUUUGAGUUAUUUUAUCACAUUUUGAGUUGGGGAGCUCAGAUUUGAGCGAUUUUGGAGAGGAAUUUUAUUAUACGAAUUGGGGUAAGUAUUUUCGACUUGGAUUUGAUUAUUUUACAUGAUUUCAUUUUUUAUUUUGUCAUUCAAGUGAUGAUUCUAAAAGAGAAAUUGGGGGUAGUUGUCAAAAUAAUUCUAAAGUGAAUAAUUGAGUUUUGAACAUCGAUUCGGAGUUGGAAUUGGAUGAAAUUAGUAUAGUUGGACUCGUAUUCGAAUGGGUUGUUAGAAUUUGUAAGUUUUGUUGGGUUCCUAGGUAUAGCCCUAGGUUGACUUUAAGUAUUUGAUUAAAUAUUUGACCUUUAUCAUUUGGGUUUGAUUCCUAAGGCGUUAUAUGAUGUUUUAAGUUGCUUUUGGCUAGUUUCGAGCCGUUCGGAGGUUGAUUCGCGCGUGAUGGCAUUUCUAGAGUAUUAUUUUAGCUUGCUUGAGAUAAGUAUAUUAUCUAAACUUUAUGGAGGCACUAGUUUCCUGAGUUUUUUGUGAUAGCUACGUGUUAUGGGUGGCGCACAUGUGUGGGGUUGAGCCCAUGUGCAUGCACCGUGGUAUUUUUCAUGCUCGAGGUAAAGUUUAGGCUAUGAUAUGACUUGGACUGACUGUUAAGCUUAAUGUUGCGAUGUUUCUUAUAUUUUUACCCCUGUUGUGAGCUAUUUGAGCUAUGUUUGUGGUUUUCUCCUGAUUGAACCUGAUAAAUUGAUACUUUCGUAAUGUAUUUGCCUGAUUAAGCUGUGAUAGCAUACUUUGCACAUGCAUACACCUUAGCAUGUCACUUACACCAGUCCAGAAGUAUGAAAUUUGAUAUUCAUUGAUCAUGCACAUGUAUUCUUAUAUAUCUGCUUUCUAUGUGAUAUGGAUUGGACUGGUAACAUGUGACCACGCCGGGCAGAUUGUGAAAUUUAUCAUGCCAGGACGUUUGUGAUAUUAAGAAUGUGAUCACGCCGGACGGAUUGAUAUUAUUGGCACGUGAGUGGUCCGUGCAACACGUGAGUUAUCCGUGCGGUUGAUAUAUUAUUAGCAAUAUAAGUUGUCCGUGCGGAUCUGAGAUAUUAUUAUUAACACGUGAGUUAUCCGUGCAGCACGUGAGUUGUCCGUGCGAUUGAUAUUAUUAGCACGUGAGUUGUCCGUGCAGCACGUGAGUUAUCUGUGUAGCAUUUGGAUAUGUAUUAAUUCCCCUAGGGUCACCCUCUCAUGUGCCUUCUUUGAUGGUGUACGCACGGAUUAUGAGAAACCGACGGGUUUCUCGUUGAUGUGAGCUCUGGGAGAGAUAAUUAUUGGUUUGGUUCGGUUACUGAGAUUCUGAUGUGGGUCUUAGAGUCGUAAUGUGAUUUCUAUUUGAAUCGGGUUACGCACUACAACAGAUUGAUAUCUGGUUAUUGCAUUUCAUCUUUACUUACAAUUUUCUUAUUGUUUACCUGAUUUAUUUGAUAGAUUGUUGACUGAGUAGAAUAUGUUAUGAAGAUUGUGAGCACCAAGGUAUUGUUAUCUGUGUUUUCAUGAUAUGAUCAUAUUUCUGUCUUGUACUUGUUGGAAUUUAUGAACUGGUACAGGUGAUUGGCGAGUAUCAUUUAUAAUUCUUGCUUCUAUGAACUGGUACAGGUGAUUAGUUAUGAUACUUACUGAGUAUAUGAGGUCGAUUGUACUCAUGCUGUACUUCUACACCUUGUGUGCAGAUCUUGGAGAUAAGAUUUUGUGGAUGACGGGAGCUGGAAAUGCAGAUGUACUUGCUUUUCGGAUAUAGCUACCACUUGUCCUUGGUAGUCUUAGAUUUGAAUCAUGUAUAUAUAUAUAUAUAUAUAUAUUUCAAACAUAUAUUAUAUUUAUUUUCAUACCAGCUUGUAAAUCUAAGUCUUAGUGGCUCAUGACUUGUACUACCAGUCUUUGGGAUAUUGUAUGAGAAUUUCAGUUAUUUUAUUUAUUGAAUUCAUAUUAUUUCAUUAGAG
This 5918-nucleotide long non-coding RNA is filed under the name Nicotiana tabacum (common tobacco). RNAcentral's name for it is "long non-coding RNA (NTAB_LNC001406)". Lineage: Eukaryota; Viridiplantae; Streptophyta; Magnoliopsida; Solanales; Solanaceae. The record is from RNAcentral.